GAUGAACGCUGGCGGCGUGYUUAACACAUGCAAGUCGAACGGGGAACAAAUUAUUGAAGCUUCGGCAGAUYUAGCUUGUUCCUAGUGGCGGACGGGUGAGUAAYGCGUGGGUAACCUSCCUCACACUGGGGGAUAACAGUCAGAAAUGGCUGCUAAUWCCGCAUAAGCGCACAGUACCGCAUGGUACAGUGUGAAAAACUCCGGUGGUGUGAGAUGGACCCGCGUUGGAUUAGCUAGUUGGCAGGGCAGCGGCCUACCAAGGCGACGAUCCAUAGCCGGCCUGAGAGGGUGAACGGCCACAUUGGGACUGAGACACGGCCCAGACUCCUACGGGAGGCAGCAGUGGGGAAUAUUGCACAAUGGGGGAAACCCUGAUGCAGCGACGCCGCGUGAAGGAAGAAGUAUCUCGGUA
Molecule: ribosomal RNA, 412 nt
Filed under: uncultured bacterium
Lineage: Bacteria
Description: bacterial SSU rRNA
Rfam family: Bacterial small subunit ribosomal RNA
Source: RNAcentral